UAGGAAGUGGUGUAAUGGGAGCGCUAAGAGUUUUGAUCUCUUGAGAAUGGGUUCGAGUCCCUUCUUCCUAAA
Molecule: transfer RNA, 72 nt
Filed under: Cynoponticus ferox (Guinea pike conger)
Lineage: Eukaryota; Metazoa; Chordata; Actinopteri; Anguilliformes; Muraenesocidae
Description: tRNA-Gln
Rfam family: tRNA
About the family: Transfer RNA (tRNA) molecules are approximately 80 nucleotides in length.
Source: RNAcentral